CCACUGCUGAGGAGUCCCACAAGAGGGCGAAACGGCCGUCCAGUGC
Schistosoma mansoni is the source of this 46-nucleotide non-coding RNA. NCBI's taxonomy places the organism in Eukaryota, Metazoa, Platyhelminthes, Trematoda, Strigeidida, Schistosomatidae. The record is from Rfam.